CAGUAGCCGCGGUAAUACGAAGGGUGCAAGCGUUAAUCGGAAUUACUGGGCGUAAAGCGUGCGUAGGCGGUUUGUUAAGUCUGCUGUGAAAUCCCCGGGCUCAACCUGGGAAUGGCAGUGGAUACUGGCAAGCUAGAGUGUGUCAGAGGAUGGUGGAAUUCCCGGUGUAGCGGUGAAAUGCGUAGGGAUCGGGAGGAACAUCAGUGGCGAAGGCGGCCAUCUGGGACAACACUGACGCUGAGGCACGAAAGCGUGGGGAGCAAACAGGAUUAGAUACCCCGGUAGUCCCUGUCUCUUAUAA
This 301-nucleotide ribosomal RNA is filed under the name uncultured bacterium. RNAcentral describes it as "partial 16S ribosomal RNA". It matches the Rfam family "Bacterial small subunit ribosomal RNA", at positions 509 to 809 of the family's 1533-position model. The record is from RNAcentral.